RNAcentral lists this long non-coding RNA (219 nucleotides) under Elaeis guineensis (African oil palm). Its description in RNAcentral is "long non-coding RNA (EGUI_LNC046418)". Lineage: Eukaryota; Viridiplantae; Streptophyta; Magnoliopsida; Arecales; Arecaceae. The record is from RNAcentral.
UAGUGAGAACAGUGCCCCUUGAACUCUUCAAGGUUCCCUCAGUGGUGAUCAAUAUGUUGACCAAUUUGGAUAUAGUGCAAUCAAGUUUGUUCAUAUAAAAAUUUAUAAUAAAUUAGCUAUAUGAACUCAUAAAGGAUUGAAUGAUCAAAUUCAUCUGCAAUUCUUUUUGCAUAUCAAGCCCGAGCUUUUCAAGAACCUCAAUAUCUUCGAUCACCAUCA